UUCAAUUCGGACCAGGGAAGUAACUCCAUCAAUUGUUCCGACUAUGGCUGGGGAGAACAGGGUGCCAGAACUCCUGAAAUAUCAUCCAUUCUUGAAGCUUCUGUAGUGGGUGAAGAGUUUCUUGAGGAUGCUAACCCUAGCAAGAAGCUGAAACCAAGUUCUGACAAUGUUAUGCAUGCUGAAGAGAACUCCGCAAAGACCUUGUCGGACGAGCUGUUGGCUUUGGACAACCAGAUGAAAUACUUCCAAAUGCCACCAUUUAUUGAAGGAAACUGGGAC
RNAcentral lists this long non-coding RNA (279 nucleotides) under Gossypium barbadense (sea-island cotton). Its description in RNAcentral is "long non-coding RNA (GBAR_LNC008762)". The record is from RNAcentral. Lineage: Eukaryota; Viridiplantae; Streptophyta; Magnoliopsida; Malvales; Malvaceae.